RNAcentral lists this ribosomal RNA (545 nucleotides) under Antilochus coquebertii. Its description in RNAcentral is "SSU rRNA". It matches the Rfam family "Eukaryotic small subunit ribosomal RNA", at positions 563 to 1026 of the family's 1831-position model. Lineage: Eukaryota; Metazoa; Arthropoda; Insecta; Hemiptera; Pyrrhocoridae. The record is from RNAcentral.
GGUGCCAGCAGCCGCGGUAAUUCCAGCUCCAAUAGCGUAUAUUAAAGUUGUUGCGGUUAAAAAGCUCGUAGUUGGUUCUGCGUGCCACGCUGUCGGUUCACCGCCUGUCGGUGCAACUGGCAUGCCGUGGCAUGUCCUGUCGGUGGCGGAUAGGCUUCGUGGCGCUCCCUACGCGAUACGUCUCGUAGGUCGUCGCGUCGUCCUUGUACGCCGGCUCAAUCCUACCGCGGUGCUCUUUACCGAGUGUCGAGGUAGGCCGACACAUUUUACUUUGAACAAAUUAGAGUGCUUAAAGCAGGCUCUUAAAUCAGCCUGAAUAGUGGUGCAUGGAAUAAUGGAACAGGACCUUGGUUCUAUUUUGUUGGUUUUAGGAAUCCAAGGUAAUGAUCAAUAAGGACAGGCGGGGGCAUUCGUAUUGCGACGUUAGAGGUGAAAUUCUUGGAUCGUCGCAAGACGCACUAGAGCGAAAGCAUUUGCCAAGUAUGUCUUAAUUGAUCAAGAACGAAAGUUAGAGGUUCGAAGGCGAUCAGAUACCGCCCUAGUUC